RNAcentral lists this ribosomal RNA (678 nucleotides) under Triticum aestivum (bread wheat). RNAcentral describes it as "partial small subunit ribosomal RNA". Lineage: Eukaryota; Viridiplantae; Streptophyta; Magnoliopsida; Poales; Poaceae. The record is from RNAcentral.
AUGGAUACCCUCACUAUCAGUGUUCAUUUGGCUCAAUGUGGCCACGUGGAGUGCAUGGUGCUCCACGUGCCACUAUGGCGGCCUAAGCGUGUGUGCCGUCGUCUACGCGUGGCGUGGACCUACCUCUGUGUAUAUAAAUUGCGCCAAGAACCAAAGCAUCUGGUUUCUUCCAUCCAGAGAGACCAUCAGCGGCUAGCUUCACAGAAUCCAGCGGCGGUGACGAAUCCAUCCAUGGCGGAGGACCACCGCCGUGACCGCGCCCGGCAGCGGCGGCCAGGCAUGCUCGUGGUGGCAGCGCUCGGGGCUCUCGGCCUCCUCGCCCUCUCCGGCACGGUGCUGGCUGCCUCGGUCGCGGGGCUGGCCGUGGCGGCGCCGUUGCUCCUACUCGCCAGCCCGGUGCUCGUCCCGGCAGCGCUGCUUGCCGCUCUGACGGCCACCGGCAUGACCUUUUCAGGCUCGCUGGCCGUCGGGGCGACAGCGCUGCUGUCACGCUUGGGGAGCGCGGUGAGGAGGGCGGCCGCAACCCCGCCGGACUACGUCGAGUUGGGGAAGCGGCGGGUGGCAGAGGUGGCCGGGGAGCAGACGGCGCACAUUGACGCCGGACCGGCGAUCAGUCCAGAGCAAGUGGCCCGCAGCCGCCGGCCAUACGGUGGCUCUCACGCCUUUAUCUCUUAUUAA